This 301-nucleotide ribosomal RNA is filed under the name uncultured bacterium. RNAcentral's name for it is "partial 16S ribosomal RNA". It matches the Rfam family "Bacterial small subunit ribosomal RNA", at positions 509 to 807 of the family's 1533-position model. The record is from RNAcentral.
CAGUAGCCGCGGGAAAACGAAGGGUGCAAGCGUUACUCGGAAUUACUGGGCGUAAAGCGUGCGUAGGUGGUGGUUUAAGUCCGUUGUGAAAGCCCUGGGCUCAACCUGGGAAUUGCAGUGGAUACUGGGUCACUAGAGUGUGGUAGAGGAUAGUGGAAUUUCCGGUGUAGCAGUGAAAUGCGUAGAGAUCGGAAGGAACAUCUGUGGCGAAGGCGACUGUCUGGGCCAACACUGACACUGAGGCACGAAAGCGUGGGGAGCAAACAGGAUUAGAUACCCCAGUAGUCCCUGUCUCUUAUAC